Molecule: non-coding RNA, 122 nt
Filed under: gamma proteobacterium IMCC1989
Lineage: Bacteria; Pseudomonadati; Pseudomonadota; Gammaproteobacteria; Alteromonadales
Also listed under: 1 other name
Description: TPP riboswitch aptamer (THI element)
Rfam family: TPP riboswitch aptamer (THI element)
About the family: Vitamin B(1) in its active form thiamin pyrophosphate (TPP) is an essential coenzyme that is synthesised by coupling of pyrimidine and thiazole moieties in bacteria. The previously detected thiamin-regulatory element, thi box was extended, resulting in a new, highly conserved RNA secondary structure, the THI element, which is widely distributed in eubacteria and also occurs in some archaea. Analysis of operon structures identified a large number of new candidate thiamin-regulated genes, mostly transporters, in various prokaryotic organisms.
Source: Rfam by way of RNAcentral
GCCAUCUUGUCGGGGUGCCUUUUUACUGUGUUGGUCAAUAGAUCAUGUAUGAAAAGUGCUGAGAUUGUCCCGUUGAACCUGAUCAGAGUCACGUCUGCGUAGGGAACAAGCGUGUUUUUGCA